This 630-nucleotide ribosomal RNA is filed under the name Klebsiella pneumoniae. RNAcentral's name for it is "partial 23S ribosomal RNA". It matches the Rfam family "Bacterial large subunit ribosomal RNA", at positions 1 to 675 of the family's 2925-position model. The record is from RNAcentral. Lineage: Bacteria; Pseudomonadati; Pseudomonadota; Gammaproteobacteria; Enterobacterales; Enterobacteriaceae.
GGUUAAGCGACUAAGCGUACACGGUGGAUGCCCUGGCAGUCAGAGGCGAUGAAGGACGUGCUAAUCUGCGAAAAGCGUCGGUAAGGUGAUAUGAACCGUUAUAACCGGCGAUGUCCGAAUGGGGAAACCCAGUGCAAUUCGUUGCACUAUCGUUAACUGAAUACAUAGGUUAACGAGGCGAACCGGGGGAACUGAAACAUCUAAGUACCCCGAGGAAAAGAAAUCAACCGAGAUUCCCCCAGUAGCGGCGAGCGAACGGGGAGCAGCCCAGAGUCUGAAUCAGCUUGUGUGUUAGUGGAACGGUCUGGAAAGUCCGACGGUACAGGGUGAUAGUCCCGUACACCAAAAUGCACAGGCUGUGAACUCGAAGAGUAGGGCGGGACACGUGGUAUCCUGUCUGAAUAUGGGGGGACCAUCCUCCAAGGCUAAAUACUCCUGACUGACCGAUAGUGAACCAGUACCGUGAGGGAAAGGCGAAAAGAACCCCGGCGAGGGGAGUGAAAAAGAACCUGAAACCGUGUACGUACAAGCAGUGGGAGCACCUUCGGGUGUGACUGCGUACCUUUUGUAUAAUGGGUCAGCGACUUAUAUUCUGUAGCAAGGUUAACCGUAUAGGGGAGCCGCAGGGAA